Molecule: ribosomal RNA, 513 nt
Filed under: uncultured bacterium
Lineage: Bacteria
Description: bacterial SSU rRNA
Rfam family: Bacterial small subunit ribosomal RNA
Source: RNAcentral
GACGAACGCUGGCGGCGUGCCUAAUACAUGCAAGUCGAGCGGACCAAAGGGAGCUUGCUCCUGGAGGUUAGCGGCGAACGGGUGAGUAACACGUGGGCAACCUGCCUGUAAGACUGGGAUAACAUCGAGAAAUCGGUGCUAAUACCGGAUAAUAAAAAGAACUGCAUGGUUCUUUUUGAAGAUGGUUUCGGCUAUCACUUACAGAUGGGCCCGCGGCGCAUUAGCUAGUUGGUGAGGUAACGGCUCACCAAGGCAACGAUGCGUAGCCGACCUGAGAGGGUGAUCGGCCACACUGGGACUGAGACACGGCCCAGACUCCUACGGGAGGCAGCAGUAGGGAAUCUUCCGCAAUGGACGAAAGUCUGACGGAGCAACGCCGCGUGAGUGAUGAAGGUUUUCGGAUCGUAAAACUCUGUUGUUAGGGAAGAACAAGUGCCGUUCGAAAGGGCGGCACCUUGACGGUACCUAACGAGAAAGCCACGGCUAACUACGUGCCAGCAGCCGCGGUAAAGU